Molecule: ribosomal RNA, 1435 nt
Filed under: uncultured Campylobacterota bacterium
Lineage: Bacteria; Pseudomonadati; Campylobacterota
Description: uncultured Epsilonproteobacteria bacterium partial 16S ribosomal RNA
Rfam family: Bacterial small subunit ribosomal RNA
Source: RNAcentral
CGCUGGCGGCGUGCCUCACACAUGCAAGUCGAGCGAGAACGAAGUGCUUGCACUUCGGGAAAGCGGCGAACGGGUGAGUAACACGUGAGUAACCUGCCCUUCGGAGGGGGAUAGCGACCCGAAAGGACCGGUAAUACCCCAUAUGCUCACAUUCUUACAAGGAAGGUGAGGAAAUGGUUUACUCCGCCGAAGGAGGGGCUCGCGGCCUAUCAGGUAGUUGGUGAGAUAACAGCCCACCAAGCCUACGACGGGUAUCCGACGUGAGAGCGUGAUCGGACACAUGGGGAUUGAGACACGGCCCUGACUCCUACGGGAGGCAGCAGUGGGGAAUUUUGGACAAUGGGCGAAAGCCUGAUCCAGCAACGCCGCGUGGAGGAUGAAGGCCUUCGGGUUGUAAACUCCUGUUGCGAGGGAUGAAUAAGGUUUAUCCGAUGACCGUACCUCGCCAGAAAGCCCCGGCUAACUACGUGCCAGCAGCCGCGGUAAUACGUAGGGGGCAAGCGUUACCCGAAAUCACUGGGCGUAAAGGGAGCGCAGGUGGUACAGCAAGUCAGAGGUUAAAUCCCACGGCUCAACCGUGGACCUGCCUUUGAAACUGCUGUACUUGAGGCUGAGAGAGGAAGAUGGAAUUCCUGGUGUAGUGGUGAAAUACUUAGAUAUCAGGAAGAACACCUAUGGCGAAGGCAGUCUUCUGGCUCAGUCCUGACACUGGGGCUCGAAAGCUAGGGGAGCGAAUGGGAUUAGAUACCCCAGUAGUCCUAGCCGUAAACGAUGCUCACUGGGUGUGGGGGGGAAACACCCUCUGUGCCGAAGUUAACGCGAUAAGUGAGCCGCCUGGGGAGUACGACCGCAAGGUUGAAACUCAAAGGAAUUGACGGGGCCCCGCGCAAGUGGUGGAGCAUGUGGUUUAAUUCGAAGAUACGCGAAGAACCUUACCUGGCCUUGACAUUGAUGGAACCCGGUAGAGAUACUGGGGUGCCCUUCGGGGAGCCUGAAAACAGGUGCUGCACGGCUAUCGUCAGCUCGUGUCGUGAGAUGUUGGGUUAAGUCUCGCAACGAGCGCAACCCUCGUCCUUAGUUGCCAGCAGUUCGGCUGGGCACUCUAAGGAGACUGCCUUCGUAAGGAGGAGGAAGGUGAGGACGACGUCAAGUCAUCAUGGCCCUUACGGCCAGGGCUACACACGUGCUACAAUGGGGUGUACAAAGAGUUGCGAUACCGCGAGGUGGAGCUAAUCUCUUAAAGCAUCUCUCAGUUCGGAUUGUUCUCUGCAACUCGAGAGCAUGAAGCUGGAAUCACUAGUAAUCGUAGAUCAGCAAUGCUACGGUGAAUACGUUCCCGGGUCUUGUACUCACCGCCCGUCACACCAUGGGAGUUGAUUUCACCCGAAAUCGGGAAGCCAAACCGGCUACCGCUUACGGUGGAAUUAGCGACAGG